Vicia faba (fava bean) is the source of this 778-nucleotide non-coding RNA. The record is from the annotation of a GenBank genome assembly. NCBI's taxonomy places the organism in Eukaryota, Viridiplantae, Streptophyta, Magnoliopsida, Fabales, Fabaceae.
AUUUAAUGCUGAUGACCCGGUCCGAAACGAGUACCGGUAAAAUAAUAACGCGGUCGCGGAGCACGAUGACCAAAACCAUAUUGUUGUUCGUUGUCGCUUGUGGAGGAGACCAAAUGCUUUCCAGUAAAUCAUAAUCACUGACGUUAAAAUCCUCGCCAAAAUUAUAUUGCGGUUGUUGUGGCGGACACAUGGUUGAAAAAUAAGGCGUUGUAGGGUUAUGUUGGGAGGAGAAGGAAUCGAAGUUUGGCCGCAUGAUGGGUGUGAAUUGUGUAGUUGGCCAAUUAUAAAUUUGCGGUUGUUGAGAUUCAUAAAUGUAAUUUGGUUGGGAGUGAGAUUGCGGGUUAAAGGUUUGAUUUUGGUAAAAAUAAGGGGCAGGAGUUUGUAGUUGAGAAAAAUGAGGGUUAGAAGUUUGGGGAUGAGGAGGUUGAGAAUGUUGUGAGUGGUGAGGUUGUUGAGAGCCACUUGCCUGAGUAGGGGCAUAUUGAUUUUGACGAGGGUCAGUGAGAAAUUGUUCGUACGAUGCAUAUCUAUGUGGAAGCGAGUGAUACCAUUGCAUGUACUCAUUUGACGGUUUCUCCUCUGUUUGUAAUUGAUCUUCAUCCAACGUAAACAAUUCUCGAUGCAACCAACAGUUUUGUUCAUCAGAGUAUAAUAUUGUAUAUGCUUUUUGGCGCGCUUUUAUUGUUGUCAUCUUAUGGUGUUCAGCCAGGCAUCGAGGUUCUUCAGGUAUCCCUUGUAAAUGGCCAAAUUGUAAUUUGACCCUAUCUGCUUGAUGCAU